RNAcentral lists this ribosomal RNA (253 nucleotides) under uncultured bacterium. Its description in RNAcentral is "partial 16S ribosomal RNA". It matches the Rfam family "Bacterial small subunit ribosomal RNA", at positions 524 to 776 of the family's 1533-position model. The record is from RNAcentral.
UACAGAGGGUGCGAGCGUUGUCCGGAAUCACUGGGCGUAAAGAGCGCGUAGGUGGCGCUCCAAGUCCGUGGUGAAAGCUCGAUGCUCAACAUCGAGUCGGCCACGGAGACUGGAGGGCUCGAGCACUGUAGGGGCAGAUGGAAUUCCAGGUGUAGCGGUGGAAUGCGUAGAGAUCCGGAAGAACACCGGUGGCGAAGGCGGUCUGCUGGGCAGUUGCUGACACUGAGGCGCGACAGCGUGGGGAGCAAACAGG